Long non-coding RNA from Photinus pyralis (common eastern firefly), 832 nucleotides. RefSeq lists it as uncharacterized. The record is from RefSeq and is a predicted model, not a curated record. The transcript has 2 exons. NCBI's taxonomy places the organism in Eukaryota, Metazoa, Arthropoda, Insecta, Coleoptera, Lampyridae.
CAGAUCCUUAUUGGAUUGUGUCGAUCCUUCCAAGAUCUACGCUAGCCGACAGCACCUUCACUCAAAUGUCAUCCUAACUUUAGCACACACGUUUUUCUGCAGAUAUGGAAUCGGCAAUAAUUCAAUAAUUGUAAUCAAUUGUGCUCGAUACAAAGUGGGUCAGUUUGAAAUGUAAGUAGUGUCCUCGUGUGUGAGAUCGAAGGGACAUUUGUAACGAAGCACCCGGAAUUUUUGAGCUGAGUUUGCCGUUUACGAGGACCACCGUGUAUAGUAACAAUUGGUUUGGGCUUUACGGUAAUUUCGAGAAUUUUCCGCGAUACCGAGGAGAUACCGUAGUUAAUUAGUCCGUCUACGACCGUUCAUGUUGGAAUUAUUUUUGUAACCACCGAAGGGUUUUGUCCUGGAGAAGAUGAAGGACAAUUAAUAUUUUUUGAUUUCAGCGCAGUUAAUUGUUUAUAGGCCGUUUUAGUUCCCCAUAAUAAGUAAAAGCAAAGAUAGAACAAGUUCCGAGGAGGGUUGUUUUGUUCGUUAUCAGUUGGCGGCGUGCGGCGAGAUUUUGGUGUCAAAUUCUCGUGCUUAAAUAACGAAUCGAUUGCCAGAUGUUCUGGACUUUUAUCGAUUGCCGAAGUAACCGGCUGGAAUUUCCGGAAUUAACAUCAUAGAUUGAGACUACCUGCGAGGCUACCGAAAACGACCAGACCCGAGAUUUCGUCUGGUUCGUUCCCUGUAUGCUUUCUACAUCCUACAUUCACCGCCGUUUUCUACCGCCGACUACCGCUUGAUAAAUUACCCUGUGUAUUACAAUAUAUUAAAUAAAUUAGCCUUGAAUUUA